Molecule: ribosomal RNA, 253 nt
Filed under: uncultured bacterium
Lineage: Bacteria
Description: partial 16S ribosomal RNA
Rfam family: Bacterial small subunit ribosomal RNA
Source: RNAcentral
UACGUAGGGGGCAAGCGUUGUCCGGAAUCAUUGGGCGUAAAGCGCGCGUAGGCGGAAUGUUAAGUCAGGGGUGAAAUCCCGGGGCUCAACCCCGGAACUGCCUUUGAUACUGGCAUUCUCGAGUCCGGAAGAGGUGAGUGGAAUUCCGAGUGUAGAGGUGAAAUUCGUAGAUAUUCGGAGGAACACCAGUGGCGAAGGCGGCUCACUGGUCCGGUACUGACGCUGAGGUGCGAAAGCGUGGGGAGCAAACAGG